UAAGGAAUAUUGGUCAAUGGGCGCAAGCCUGAACCAGCCACGCCGCGUGAAGGAAGAAGGCCCUACGGGUUGUAAACUUCUUUUGUUAGGGAAGAAACACUUCUACGUGUAGAAGACUGACGGUACCUGACGAAUAAGGAUCGGCUAACUCCGUGCCAGCAGCCGCGGUAAUACGGAGGAUCCAAGCGUUAUCCGGAUUUAUUGGGUUUAAAGGGUGCGUAGGCGGGCUAUUAAGUCAGAGGUGAAAUCC
RNAcentral lists this ribosomal RNA (250 nucleotides) under uncultured bacterium. RNAcentral describes it as "partial 16S ribosomal RNA". It matches the Rfam family "Bacterial small subunit ribosomal RNA", at positions 355 to 602 of the family's 1533-position model. The record is from RNAcentral.